UCAAUUAUAGGUUAAUUUUUAAACUACUAAUUUGUGGUGUUAGUGAUUUGUUUUCAAUGAUUGAA
RNAcentral lists this transfer RNA (65 nucleotides) under Diplostomum ardeae. Its description in RNAcentral is "tRNA-His". The record is from RNAcentral. Lineage: Eukaryota; Metazoa; Platyhelminthes; Trematoda; Diplostomida; Diplostomidae.